GAGUUACUCCAGCAUUUUGUGCUUAUCUAUAGGGAGAGAUGGGGCAACCUAGCACUUUAUUCCUUCGAGUGUAGGAGGUUAAGGGGUGAUCUUAUAGAGCUGCAUAAAAUCAUGAGGGGGAUAGAUAAGAUGAAAUGCACAGGCUCUUUUUACCCAGGGUAGGAAA
Amblyraja radiata (thorny skate) is the source of this 166-nucleotide long non-coding RNA. RefSeq lists it as uncharacterized. Lineage: Eukaryota; Metazoa; Chordata; Chondrichthyes; Rajiformes; Rajidae. The record is from RefSeq and is a predicted model, not a curated record. The transcript has 3 exons.